Molecule: long non-coding RNA, 1447 nt
Filed under: Monodelphis domestica (gray short-tailed opossum)
Lineage: Eukaryota; Metazoa; Chordata; Mammalia; Didelphimorphia; Didelphidae
Description: lncRNA (ENSMODG00000041120.1)
Source: RNAcentral
AGUGGUUCCAAGGAAGAAGAGUGGUGAGGGCUAGGCAAUAGGUGUUAAGUGACUUUCCCAGGAUCAUAUAGCUGGGAAGUGUCUGAGGUCAGAUUUGAACCCAGGACCUCCCAUCUCUGGGCCUGACUCUCAAUCCACUGAGCUACCUUGAUGCCCCCACAAUAUAUUAUUGUUAACUAUCUAUGGAAGAAAUUAUGUACUAGUAGGCACCAUACUCAAGCCACUAGCCAAAAGUUUCUUUUCUUUUUCUUCCUUCCUUCUUUCCUUCCUUCCUUCCUUCCUUCCUUCCUUCCUUCCUUCCUUCCUUCCUUCCUUCCUUCCUUCCUUCCUUCCUUUCCUUCUUUCUUUCUUUCUUUCUUUCUUUCUUUCUUUCUUUCUUUCUUUCUUUCUUUCUUUCUUUCUUUCUUUCUUUCUUUCUUUCUUUCUCUUCCUUACCUUCUCUCUUAGAAUCAAUACUGUGUACUGAUUUCAAGGCAGAAGAGCAGCAAGGGUUAGGCAAUGAAGGUUACAUGACUUGCCCAGAGUCACACAGUUAGAAAGUGUCUGAGGCCAAACAGGAUCUCCUGUUGCUCAAUCCACUGAGCCACCUAGGUGCCCCAUGAUCUGUUUUCCUUCAGAUCAUCUAAGACCUUGAUGAUAUCUUAAAGUAACUUCUCACAGGUACACCAUCAUUGGUACUAAGCAGCAGCCUGGACAUAUUUUCUACACCUAUCUGUUGCUUUUUGAAUCAUGGGCAUCUUUGAUUCAUUUGGUCAUAGAAACCCAUGAAAAAGAUUUUUUUUUAAAUUAACAAAGAUGCAAUAUGCUAACAAAGAGUCAAUAUGCUAAAUAGUUCCCUUAGGUCAUUGGUAUGCUUCUAUCUAUAGGAUAAAGUCGUUUUAAGAAGCAAACUGGUAUAAUGGAUGGGACAGUGAAUUUGACACCAGGACGAUCUGGGUUCCAUUGAUCACAAUAUUUCUGUGCUUCAAUUUUCUCAUUUGUAAAAUGAAUUUAAGGGCCACUAAGGUUCCUUCUCCCUCUAAAUCUAUGAUCCUAUGAAACUGCCAGGGGUACUAUGCUGGUGCUAGAUUUGGUUCAUCUAGAUCCACUCCAAGGCUAGGUUUGCCUCCAUCAGGCUUGCCACUCUGCAACCAGAAAAUCUGGCUGGAAGAAACCCUGGUCUGUCAUUCAGAAGCCUUUAUCUAGAUUCACUGAUUGUCCCAGAAUCAUCUGUCUAGUCCCUGGCUCAAGUUACCUUUUGGUUAGAUUGAAUUCUUUGGAAAGAAUAAGCUAAGUGCUCCCAUAAUCACAUAACAUGUCCUGCUUAGUCUCAGACAUCAGAACUAGAAGCAAUGGAGGGAAAGUUGUCAAGGACAAAUCUGAGCUCAGUAUAGAAAAAACUAGCUAGUUCUCCUGACUGGCUUCUUUUUUUAAAUAAUAUUUUAUUUCUCUUCAAUUAUAUGUAAAG